This is a long non-coding RNA of Ricinus communis (castor bean), 2520 nucleotides long. RefSeq lists it as uncharacterized. Lineage: Eukaryota; Viridiplantae; Streptophyta; Magnoliopsida; Malpighiales; Euphorbiaceae. The transcript has 2 exons. The record is from RefSeq and is a predicted model, not a curated record.
UCGAAAUGUGAUUUUUUUGGGUUCCAAGGCUUAGGGUCCAUCUUCGGGGUAUUUCUAUAGGUUUAACACAUGUCCUUCGUUCAAAAGUAUUUCACCAGCUAAAAUGUCUCGUCAUCGUCUUAUAAAAAUUUUUGAUCAAGAAAAUUUGGAGUUAACGUAGGGCCUUUCUCCUCUUCCUUCGACUUCUUUUUUUGGUUUUUAAUGGCCCGAUAGUUCUCUUUAAUUCCAGGAAAAUUACUGAUCCUAAUAAGAAACAAGGAAGAAUCUCUUAUGUUAAUUGAAAAUCAAAGCCUCCUGAUAAGGAGAGGGGUGCACCUCAAAAGCAGAAGAUCUCAUAUGAGAAAAUUAUUGUUGUUGCUAAUGGAGAGCGUCGCUCUUCAGUAAGCUAACAUGUUACAGUUGUCCAACUUAAUUAAGCUAAUUGUUUAAGUUUCCUUCUCCUUAUCCCUUUUAAUGUCUCUGUUCUCUUGGAACUGCCAAGGGAGUUGGAAAUGAAUAUUUUAUGGUCAUGAGAGUAUGCCCGAUAAUAUGAGCCCUCUGUGUGUAUUAUCCUUGAGCUAAAAAAUUAGUGGGGAUAGAGCUGUGAAAGCAAUUCGUAAGUUGGAUUUUCACAUUUCGUUUAGAGAAGAUGCAAAGGGUUUCUCUAGAGGAAUAUGGGUGAUGUGGAAUGGCAAAAAUAUUAGGGUCCAAAUUUUGGAUUCUAAUUUUUAGUUUGUGCAUUUCAGUUGGGGUGAGAGAGAGCAUUCGAAUGUGUGUACAACUAUCUAUAGUCAUCCUAAUCCUUCUGUUCGCGAGCUUCUUUAGGAUGGUAUUUGUCAAAUGGCUCAGAAUAUUUAUAUUCCUUAGGUUCUUAUAGGUGAUUUUAACAGUUUUUUGAGCUUGGAUCAAAAAAUGGGUGCUCCUUCGCUUGCCAAAUGUCUUAAGUUUUGCAGGUGUAUGGAUGACUAUCAAUUGCAAGACUUGGGGCUCGUUGGGGCUAAAUUUACUUGGCAUCGUGGCAGAGUUAGCGAGCAUCUUGGUCAGGCUAUUUUGUCCUUAACUUGGAGGAUGAAAUUUCAUGAGGCUAUUGUGAGAAAUCUCCCUCAAAUUAAGUACGAUCAUUGCCCUUUCAUGUUACAUCUCUUUGGGGCGAGUAUUCUGCCUGUGAAUAGGAGACCCUUUCAUUUCGAAGCUGCUUGGCUAACGCAUGGUUCAGAUUUGGAAUAAGGAAAGUUUUAGAAACAUAUUUGCUAAAAAGAGAAAGCUCCUUACAAGACUUGCGGGUAUUCAUAGAGCCGUAGAAAUUCAUGACUCUAAGAAUCUCCAGAAUUUUUUGUUUUGUCUGUCAAGAGAAUUGGAGGAAAUUCUGUUGCAAGAGGAGAUCGUUUGGUUUCAAAACUCCAGGGAUAAAUGGUUGCAUUUUGGCAACCAUAAUACAAAAUACUUUCGUAACUCUACUAUUUAGCGUAGAAGAAGAAAUCGUGUCGAAGCUUUGAAGGAUGAUUCUGGGCAAUGGGUGUAUGAUAUUGUGUCACUAAAUCCAUGGCUUUUUCUUUUUAAUAACCGGUUGUAUAUGGAAGAGAACAGUCCAUCACUCUUUAUGAGAAGCCAUUUCCGCCUAUUAGCAAUGAGUUGCAACCGCUUCUUUAAUGCAGUCAUAUUGGAUGAUACUCAAAAAGCAAUCUAUGAUAUGGGCGCCUAUAAGGCCUGGUCCUAGAUGGUAUAAGCCAAUGGGUUUCGGUGGGGGAAUCUCUGUAUCAGAUGGUUGCAACAUCCUUCAAGACUAGAGAGAUGGAUUUGCAAUUGAAUGAAGCUCUUAUAGUUCUUAUCCUGAAAAUUCAUGCGCUUGAGAGUUUGUCUCAUAUGAGACCAACUGGUUUAUGUAAUGUAGCUUAUAAGGCUAUCACUAAAAUUAUUGUCAGUCAUUUAAAGUCUUUUAUGAACUCUUUACUAGUUGAAACUCGGUAUAGCUUUAUGCCUAGAAGGCAAAUUACUAAUGAUAUGAUCAUUGUGCAAGAAGUUUUCAAUUCUAUGAAGCGUGCGACGUCUAAGAAAGGGUGCAUGGUCAUUAAAGUCGACUUGGAGAAAGCGUAUGAUAGGCUGCGAUAGAGUUUCAUCAGAGAGACAAUAAAUAUUAGUUGGCCUUCUUAAUAUGUUUAUUGACAUAAUUAUAUCUUGCAUCACUACGACUAGCAUGCGGGUUCUGUGGAAUGGUGAAGCUACUGCAAGUUUUCAGCCUUUAAGGGGCAUACGUCAAGGGGACCCCUUGUCUCCAUACAUAUUUGUUUUGUGUAUGGCGCGUCUAGCACAUUUGAUUGAAGGGUCAGUUAGAAAUGGUCAGUGAAACCUAGUUUGUCUCAAUCGUGGUGAUCUUGGGCCGUCACACUUGUUUUUCGUGGAAGAUGCUAUUUAUGAAAGCUUCUCUCACUCAAGCUCGAGUUAUUCAACAAUGUCUAGAUUGCUUUUGUGACACUUCUAGUCAGUGUGUGAACUCUAUGAAAACUAAGAUAUUUUUAUCGAAAGGAGUAUUUACUUCUCAAA